UGGCGGCGUGCUUAACACAUGCAAGUCGAACGGAAAGGCCCUGCUUUUGUGGGGUGCUCGAGUGGCGAACGGGUGAGUAACACGUGAGUAACCUGCCCUUGACUUUGGGAUAACUUCAGGAAACUGGGGCUAAUACCGGAUAGGAGCUCCUGCUGCAUGGUGGGGGUUGGAAAGUUUCGGCGGUUGGGGAUGGACUCGCGGCUUAUCAGCUUGUUGGUGGGGUAGUGGCUUACCAAGGCUUUGACGGGUAGCCGGCCUGAGAGGGUGACCGGCCACAUUGGGACUGAGAUACGGCCCAGACUCCUACGGGAGGCAGCAGUGGGGAAUAUUGCACAAUGGGCGGAAGCCUGAUGCAGCAACGCCGCGUGCGGGAUGACGGCCUUCGGGUUGUAAACCGCUUUCGCCUGUGACGAAGCGUGAGUGACGGUAAUGGGUAAAGAAGCACCGGCUAACUACGUG
RNAcentral lists this ribosomal RNA (459 nucleotides) under uncultured bacterium. Its description in RNAcentral is "partial 16S ribosomal RNA". It matches the Rfam family "Bacterial small subunit ribosomal RNA", at positions 37 to 507 of the family's 1533-position model. The record is from RNAcentral.